This 376-nucleotide ribosomal RNA is filed under the name Lumbricillus tuba. RNAcentral's name for it is "partial 12S ribosomal RNA". It matches the Rfam family "Bacterial small subunit ribosomal RNA", at positions 875 to 1410 of the family's 1533-position model. The record is from RNAcentral. Lineage: Eukaryota; Metazoa; Annelida; Clitellata; Enchytraeida; Enchytraeidae.
UUAAGACAUACUCAUUUACCGGUCAAUACGAACAACUGUUUAAAAUCCAAAGAAUUUGGCGGUGUCUCAUGUCUAUCAGGGGAACCUGUUACUUAAUUCGAUAAUCCACGAAACUCAAUCCAUAUUUUGAACUAUCAGCCUGUGUACUGCUGUCGUCAGUAAACCUCUAAAAGAUAGUUUACAAUAAUAUAAACCAUAUUUACGUCAAGUCAAAGUGCAGCCAAUAAUAUGGAGCUCAAUGGGUUACAAACUCAAUAAAGAUACAUAUAAAGAAAUUAAAAUUCUUUUGAAGGUGGACUUGAUAGUACAUAUUUAAAUUAUACUAAUAUUAAUAUGUACCUGAGACAUGCACACAUCGCCCGUCACUCUCAUCUCA